ACGUAGGACAUCAAGCAAUUUCAGGAAAUAUGGAGCAGAUGAGCAGAAGUUGGUAGCUUCCCAUCAUAAUUAAACAAAAAAUCUCAGACAAAAAUGAUCUCAAAAAGUCUUAAUAUUGCAGCAAGGCAUGAAAUAUAACAGACUUGUUCUAAAUAACAUCCCUCAAAGCUAAACAAAAUACAAGAUCCAAAAAUCCUAUAUAUCAAUGACACUGAUAAGAAAGUUCUCAAGCAGCAAUCUUCUUGAGCUUAGCAAGCUCCUGUCUCACAACUCCAGCUCUCUUAAUCUUUGCCAGCAUAAGCUUGAACCUGUCAAAAUCGUUAAGUGCAGCUCUCCUCUUCUGCACUAUCAACUUCCUUCCCCAUGAACUGUUCUCCCACUUGGUCUUCACAUCAGCAGCUUCCAUAGCCUCAACCAGGGUCUUCUUCUUUGGAAUUCUCUUGAUGUCGAUCUUGACAUCUGUGAGGGAAAGCCUCUUGAAGUUCAUCUGGCUCCUCACCAUGUCAGGAGCAUCAACAAGAGCCCUGUUUUGGUCGAUAACGUCAACAAUGACGACGAGCCUCCCAUAGUCCUCCCCGUAGUUAACGAGUGCAACUCUUCCGAUCUCCACAAACCUCUUGAACGGCAUUUUUACUGAUCUGAAGGAGCUGUGAAGCUGCGAAAAAAGAGUGAGACGAAAG
RNAcentral lists this unclassified non-coding RNA (680 nucleotides) under Hevea brasiliensis (rubber tree). The record is from RNAcentral. Lineage: Eukaryota; Viridiplantae; Streptophyta; Magnoliopsida; Malpighiales; Euphorbiaceae.